GUCAAGUGAGAAUACCCGCUGAACUUAAGCAUAUCAAUAAGCGGAGGAAAAGAAACUAACAAGGAUUCCCUCAGUAACGGCAAGUGAACCGGGAAAAGCUCAAAUUUAAAAUCGCUUGGGUUUACCUGAGUGGGUUGUAAUUUGAAGAAAGUGUUUCGACUUUUCGGGUUUGAUCCAAAUCCUUUGGGAUGAGGUAUCAUAGAGGGUGAGAAUCCCGUUCAUGAUUGAACCUGAGUUGUCAAUUGAUUCAUUUUCUAAGAGUCGAGUUGUUUGGGAUUGCAGCUCAAAAUGGGUGGUAAAUUUCACCUAGGGCUAAAUAUCUGCAAGAGACCGAUAGCGAACAAGUACCGUGAGGGAAAGAUGAAAAGAACUUUGAAAAGAGAGUUAAAAAGUACGUGAAAUUGUUGAAAGGGAAACGAUUGAAGUCAGUCAUGCUAGCGAGGAAGCAACUUGGUGGUGUGAGUCUCUCAUCUCCUCCGUGUGCACUUCCUCGUCUGGCAGGUUAGCAUCAAUUUUGAUUGUCAUCAAAUAAUUGGGGUAAUGUGGCUUCGCUUCGGUGGAGUGUUAUAAACCCUGGUGGAUGUGGCGAUUGGGAUUGAGGAUUGCAGCGGAUGCCUCUUGGGCUAGUCACCUGAUUCCUGGCUGUCACCUCGCUUUCGACAGCUUGCUGACGAUUGUGGGACUCGGCGGUCUAGAAGUUAGAGUGAUCUUAAAUUCGCUAAGGAUGCUGACGUAAUGGCUUUAAACGACCCGUCUUGAAACACGGACCAAGGAGUCUAACAUGUGUGCGAGUGUU
Molecule: ribosomal RNA, 796 nt
Filed under: uncultured Acaulosporaceae
Lineage: Eukaryota; Fungi; Glomeromycota; Glomeromycetes; Diversisporales; Acaulosporaceae
Description: eukaryotic LSU rRNA
Rfam family: Eukaryotic large subunit ribosomal RNA
Source: RNAcentral